Molecule: long non-coding RNA, 2555 nt
Organism: Panicum virgatum (switchgrass)
Lineage: Eukaryota; Viridiplantae; Streptophyta; Magnoliopsida; Poales; Poaceae
Exons: 7
Source: RefSeq, a predicted model, not a curated record
ACCCCUCCUCCUCCUCGCCAUCCCCGUCCCCGGCUUCUCCUCCUCCUCCUUCCCACCGCCUCCUCCUCCUUCCCACCGCUGCCCCAUCCCCGUGCCGCCGCCUCACUGCGCGAGACAGUGGCGGGCAGUGACGGCAUGCAGGCGCCCGGCGUGUGCGGGCCUGGAGCGCGGCCAAAGAAUGGAUGCGCGGGCACGAGUAGAGAGCGGAGACACACAGGUGGUUCUUUUCCCAUGAGUCUCAACAUCGCAGGUGAGCUUCCCUACCCCUUCCAUUACGAUCCUCCAACCUGCUCAUCUCCUCACACGUCCACAAGGAGAGCAUAUGUGCCCCCAUCUCAACUCGAAUUUCUUCUCAAUAAAUGGAGCCCCUUUUCAACUCAAAUACACCGGAUCGAAGUCAGCUCAGCACAAAUCAGCACCUUCGAAUUGAGCUUCCUGUUUCAUCUUUUCUACUCCUGUGGGUCAAGUGCGUAUUCCAACUCUGUUUUUCUCCAAAUUAUUUUUUGCUCAGGUCCAAUCAAAUGCAAGAUGAGCCUGCUCCUUCCCAGCACUACUAUUUUGUCUUUCACCAGUUGGUUUGAUCUGAAAAAAAUGAUAUGUACACUAUCAUAUGCUUACAAAAUUAGCACUUAUGUAUAUACAAAGUACCACCACAAAUCCAAGACCUUAUGGCUGUUAUCUCAUAACUAAUUACUUACCAAGCUGAUGCUCUUGGAUCAAGAAGAAAUUCAUGUUUCCUGUUACCUGAAAACUCUUUCUCUAAUUUUUAAUUUUCCCUUCCAGGUUGAAGGUGCGCCGAUGGUAAUGUAAGUCUGUGCUAAUUUCCUGCUGAUAGUGCUAGGUAGGUCUAUUCUUUCAGUGGGUAACUUCAAGCUAAUCAAUAAUUAUUAGCUACCACAUAAUUUGCCUUGCAAACUUAAACUUACAAAUACAAUCUGGUUCUUCGCAUGCUAUAUAUGUCCUUUUAUACUGUUAACAUCUCACAGGCGACAAUUAGUUAAGCUUGUCACACCCAACUUGGAUUUCACCAUACCUUCUCUUAUUUUUAGAUUGUGCAAAUGUGUUAGAAUUUAGUUACAGUUUUAAGGUGGACGAAUGCAUCACCACAUGUUAUUUAAACAAGCAGAAGGUAGGACAUCAUCUACUUUCAAAUGCAUCCAUUGUGAUAUCCACAUAUCCAAUUUACUCAUUGAUCAAUACAAGGCCUUACAUUCAUAUGUAGUUCUGUUUGAAUCCAUACAUCGUUGAUUUCAUCAACUUAUUCACAAUUUUCCUUUUCAACUUUCAGGUUGAAGUCAAGAAUUGAUUCUCAAGAUAGUAAUAAUUCUGUUCCUCUCUUUACAUUCUGAGUAUUUCAAACUGUUGGCUUGCGUACUUUGUCCUGUAUUUAUAUCUCUUUGUAAUUUUUACAAGGGGUGAUCUCUUAAGAUACCAUUCCUUUCUGCAGGAAACCCAUUUCUCUUUGCUACAGCAGGAGACUGAGAAACUUCGUGGACAUAUUGAUAAGAUGAGGAGUAAUUUAACUCAAGAUCUCGCAAAAUAAAUUUCCAUGUAGCAGCAGUGGUUAAAAUAAAAAAUUCAAGUUCACGUGUAUCACAUGGUUACACUCCUUGACAGAACUAAGUUUGAUUCAAGCUGUGAUCAUGGAGAUCCCUUCAUGUUUAAGCUGGGACAAGGUCAAACAAUAAAGGGUUACGACCAAGGCAUGAAGACUAUGAAGAAAGGAGAAAAUGCUAUUUCUACCAUUCCUCCAGAAAUGUCUUAUGAAGAAUCUGGUUCGCCUCCAAAGAUUCCACCCAAUGCAACCUUGCAGUUUGAUUUGAGCUACAUUUAUGGACCACUGUCAAAUAUAAUUGCAAAGAUGGUGGCAUAUUUAAGAACAUACUUAAGGAUGGACAGAACUGGGAGAACCCAAAGGAUCUGAUGAAGUACUUGGAAUUUGACUACACCGAGUUAGAUAAAGUUACAAAGUAUUACCCACAUUUUUUAUGGAGUUAAUAGGAAAUGUUGAUGCAAACAAUCCGGUGCAGGUAACAACCAUCGAUUGGUAUGUGAGAUACCAUGUCAAGGAGUUUGAGAGAUGUUUCUAUUUGAGAUUUCCAGCUAGCUCAGUUGCUGGAAAAAAAAAGGACAGACUCAUCUAUGACUAUUUCGGAUGUGCAAGGAGUAGUUCUUGGGAAUAAGUGCCAACAUAAGUUGCUUGGAAUUAUUGAUGAGUGUGAAUUGCCAGAAUUUCUUGGUGGUAAAUGCCAGUGUGAUGAACAUGGAGGUUGGCCAAUAUCUGACAAAGGUUCUUCUAAAAAAUGAAACAUGAUUAACCAUCAUAGAAUAAAAAGGAGAUGUUACCAUACAAGAUAUCCAGCUAGACAAAAAUGUCUUAGUACUAAAGUGAUGCAUCUUCAAUAUCUCCAGAUAAUUCUCAAUGGCGAGGCAAACUAUGGAAGGCGAAAUGUGACUGUAUGAAAAGAUAAUUAGUUACGCUAGGUCAGGGUAGCCAGCCGUCUGUAACUAUAUCUCAACUGCUAAUAAAAUAUUUACAUGCUCUUGCUUCAUAA